AAUAGAUACCCGGUAGUCCUGGCAGUAAACGGUGCGCGUUUGGUGUGGGAGGAAUCGACCCCUUCCGUGCCGGAGCUAACGCGUUAAACGCGCCGCCUGGGGAGUACGGUCGCAAGAUUAAAACUCAAAGAAAUUGACGGGGGCCCGCACAAGCGGUGGAGUAUGUGGCUUAAUUCGAUGCAACGCGAAGAACCUUACCUGGGCUUGACAUGCAUCUCUAAGUCGGUGAAAGCCGGCGAGUGCCGCAAGGUACAAUUUGCACAGGUGCUGCAUGGCUGUCGUCAGCUCGUGUCGUGAGAUGUUGGGUUAAGUCCCGCAACGAGCGCAACCCUGUGAUCUGUUGCUAACCGGCUUGUCCGGAGCACUCUGGUCAGACUGCCCUGUGAAACGGGGAGAAGUGGGAUGACGUCAAGUCAGCAUGGCCCUUAGCCCAGGGCUGCACACGUACUACAAUGCUCAGUACAGAACGAGCCGAAACCGCGAGGUGAGGAAAUCCCUAAAACUGAGCCCAAUUCGGAUCGCAGGCUACG
This 530-nucleotide ribosomal RNA is filed under the name uncultured bacterium. RNAcentral's name for it is "bacterial SSU rRNA". It matches the Rfam family "Bacterial small subunit ribosomal RNA", at positions 777 to 1309 of the family's 1533-position model. The record is from RNAcentral.